GCCUUGCUCACGCUCUUCAAUAUGGAGACGUGGGAAUGGUCAGCAUCUCGGGCAGAGCCCCAGACACCCACUCUCUUUAUAGGACAUCACCCAGUGACCCUCUGCACCUCACACACAGUCCAGGGGAGACUCAGAGCAACUGUCCUAUAUUGACAGGGUCAAGCAGUUCCAAUGUGGGCAUGUGAACCAGGCAAAGCUGGUACAGGAGUCUCCCCUUUCCUGGGAUGAUGGGAAAGGGCAUUUAACCCUCAAGACUGUGAACCUAGAACCCUGACACCAGGCAUCACCACAUGGGACCUAAAAAUGAAGCCAGGCCAAGUGAAUGCUGGAAACAAGUCCAAGGCCCUGUCAAGCCAUGUCUGCAGCCUCACUGAGUCCUCUUCAUUAUCCCCAACAGUCCGUGGACCUAUUAGGCACCCACGGUCUAUGAUCUCAGCAAUUCUUACAUUCAAUAUUAGGAGGUCCUACUCAAGGGUGUCUUCUACUAGUUAUGUGGAGUUUGGUCUUUCCUGUGGCUGGUAUUGGGGACCCAUGAUCCCCAAGAAUGAACCCUCCUGCAUUUCAGAGAGGGGCAGAGGAGAGAGUGACCCCACAGAAACCGAGUCAACAACGUGAAGAUGUCUCCUCUGGCCGGUGCAGUCAGCCAGGCUGACAGAACCCGAGCGUCACGGGGCUGCCAUGAGCGCUCCCGCUCCAGGUCCAAGAGGGUGCUCUAGAGGAGGGGCAGAGGGCAGCAAGGCCAGACCAAGUGGGGGCUCCACCCCCGCACCAUUGAGCUGUCAGGACUUGAGCUCAGGAAGAGAGAGGACGCUGGGAGCAGUUGGAGCUUUGCCCAUGCUGGACGGGCUGGUGAGCAAAACAGACAGGCACAGAGGGGCCCAGCAGGCAGGACCUUGGCUCUCGGAGCUUUGCUCUCCGGAGGGGAGUCAGUGAAAGGGUGGAUGGAUCCGGGGUCUAUAGGGGGUUGGUGGAGGUGCAGAGCAGAGGCACUCGGGGGUGGGCAUGGCCUAGAGUAGGGACCAGAGGAGCCGGAUGCGCCCCCCGGCUGUGUGCAGCUUGCCCAUGGUGCCACAGAGAUCCUAUGGGGGCCACUGAAGGCCAAGAGGAGAGAGUGGAGCAAGGUGCAAUGAGGUCAGGGGGCCUGGGUGGUCAGACAACAGGCAGCACUGGCACUUUGCUCACGGCUCUGUGCCCUCCACAUUCGUACCCUCGGGAAGGUACAGCAGAGGACAUCGUGAGCUGAGCACCUGAAUGGGAAGUAGGGCAGGGGCCCCGAAGCCAGCCUGCAGCUGCCCUCUGCAGAGGGGGUGGGCAGUUCUGGUCUCCACCUUAGCUUUCAGAACAAAGUGAGGGCCAGCUCUGCCCACCAGCAGAGGCUAGUAAAAGCAGCAGCAGGAAUGCCAGGCAGGGGUGUGCCUGCUGGAGAACCGGAGGCCUCCUGCCUCUGACUGAGCUCGUAGGGCCUCUACUAGCAGGGUCCUCUCCAGCAACAGACCAAUAUGAGGAGAAGGCUGGCCAGUCCUCACUGCAGGUGAGUGGCCGGCUGGAGGACAGGUGUCCCUUCCUGCCUCUGGGGAAGCUCAGUCCUUUGGUCUGAUCCAGGGGACAAGGCCCAGCCACAGUAUGGGGGGCAGGCCACCACCGGGGCAGCAACUGGCCAGAGGAAUGGCAGAGCCCUGCUGGGAAGGGUAUCAGGUGGACAGGACAUGAGAGCAAUCAAUGGGGCCACUUCUGUGGCCACAGAAGAACCCCACAUGGAGACGGCCCAGGAUCACGAUGUUCCCUCGCAGUCGGGCGGCCAGGGAGCUGUGGGCCGCUGUGUGCAGCUCGGGCAGGG
This 1837-nucleotide long non-coding RNA is filed under the name Marmota monax (woodchuck). The record is from RNAcentral. Lineage: Eukaryota; Metazoa; Chordata; Mammalia; Rodentia; Sciuridae.